UACGGAGAGUGCGAACGUUGUUCGGAUUCACUGGGCGUAAAGGGCACGUAGGCGGCUUGGCAAAUCGGUCGUGGAAUCCCGACGCUUACCGUCGGAACGGCGGCCGAAAAUACCGAGCUCGAGGGCGUGAGGGGUCACUGGAACUCCUAGUGAAGCGGUGAAAUGCGUAGAUAUCAGGAGGAACGCCGGAGGCGAAAGCGAGUGACUGGCGCGUUCCUGACGCUGAGGUGCGAAAGCUAGGGGAGCAAACAGG
Molecule: ribosomal RNA, 253 nt
Filed under: uncultured bacterium
Lineage: Bacteria
Description: partial 16S ribosomal RNA
Rfam family: Bacterial small subunit ribosomal RNA
Source: RNAcentral